GAUGAACGCUGGCGGCGUGCUUAACACAUGCAAGUCGAACGAGAAGUGAAGACGGAAACCUUCGGGCGGAAGGCUUUAUUUCGAGUGGCGGACGGGUGAGUAACGCGUGGGUAACCUGCCUCAUACAGGGGGAUAACAGUUGGAAACGACUGUUAAUACCGCAUAAGACCACAGCACCGCAUGGUGCGGGGGUAAAAACUCCGGUGGUAUGAGAUGGACCCGCGUUCGAUUAGCCAGUUGGCGGGGUAACGGCCCACCAAAGCGACGAUCGAUAGCCGAUCUGAGAGGAUGACCGGCCACAUUGGGACUGAGACACGGCCCAAACUCCUACGGGAGGCAGCAGUGGGGAAUAUUGCACAAUGGGGGAAAACCUGAUGCAGCGACGCCGCGUGAGUGAAGAAGUAUUUCGGUAUGUAGAGCUCUAUCAGCAGGGAAGAAAAUGACGGUACCUGAGUAAGAAGCCCCGGCUAACUACGUG
RNAcentral lists this ribosomal RNA (478 nucleotides) under uncultured bacterium. RNAcentral's name for it is "partial 16S ribosomal RNA". It matches the Rfam family "Bacterial small subunit ribosomal RNA", at positions 28 to 507 of the family's 1533-position model. The record is from RNAcentral.